Molecule: transfer RNA, 77 nt
Filed under: Vibrio parahaemolyticus
Lineage: Bacteria; Pseudomonadati; Pseudomonadota; Gammaproteobacteria; Vibrionales; Vibrionaceae
Also listed under: 1 other name
Description: tRNA-Pro
Rfam family: tRNA
About the family: Transfer RNA (tRNA) molecules are approximately 80 nucleotides in length. Their secondary structure includes four short double-helical elements and three loops (D, anti-codon, and T loops).
Source: RNAcentral
CGGGGUGUGGCGCAGCUUGGUAGCGCACAAGUCUGGGGGACUUGGGGCCGGAGGUUCAAAUCCUCUCACUCCGACCA